Long non-coding RNA from Lagenorhynchus albirostris (white-beaked dolphin), 2086 nucleotides. RefSeq lists it as uncharacterized. The record is from RefSeq and is a predicted model, not a curated record. NCBI's taxonomy places the organism in Eukaryota, Metazoa, Chordata, Mammalia, Artiodactyla, Delphinidae. The transcript has 3 exons.
GAAGGGAGCCCUUUCACUAAGUGCUAUCCACGAAGCAGCAGUCGGGAUGGUUUCCCGAGCACGGUCGGACCGGGUGGAACCAGGGGCCGACGGCGUGCAGGGCAGCAGGCGGCCGAGAAGCUGCCCCCAGCUCUGGUGAGCGAUUCGGUGAGCAAGUGCCUUGGGCCCGGUGAGCCCUCUGCUAUACAAACGUGUGAACAGGAAACAUUUGAAAAAAAGUUCUCCAUUGAACUAUCCCGGCUCUAAAAAGAAAUAAUCUAUUCUGUCUGAACCACAAAGCCAUUGGUCGUCUCUAAAAUUGUGAGGGGGCGAACCAAGAGCAGAUCUACUGACAGGCCGCUCCCCAAAAGCCGUCUCUGCGGGAUUUAUUUCUGACUCGGCUGCCACGGCCUGGAUCUCCCCACAUUCCCACGUCUGAGGAUGGGAGCUCAAGAAGAAAAGAUGCACUGGGGGCCCUUUUCAGGGAUAAAGGCAGAUGCCGAAGAGUGGGGAUCCUACAAUCACCUAGACCUAGAAGGAAGAGGGCUCAGCCCGAUGAGACACAGACUCUAAGGGAGCCAUGAAGUUCUGUAAUUUAGAAAUGGCAGCCUCCACCCAAAGUCAAGAAGGGCGCCAGAAAGAAAGAGAGCAGCGGGGUGCUACGAAGCUGGCCAGCUCCGUGGGACCAGAGGUGGAUCAGGCAUCCCGCUGGGAUCACAGGCCGAAUGGAGCCAUGGGUCCUUGCACAGAACCUGCUCUCAUGAAUCCUGCCCUGUCUUAUCCACGUUCUCUCUUUACCUUCUCUGUGUCCUCACGUAGCACAUCAUGAGGUUUGGUACACACUUGGCAGAAAGCGGGCUCUCUCACCCUUAACUGGAGGGAUGUUUAAAGCAGAGCAAGUCUGACCGUCUGCAGGUGGGUGAUGCAUUCCCCACCAGCUGUUUUCAGCUCAGGAUCCCACAGGAAUGCUUAGGAGAUAAAUUUGAAGAUUCUUUUCUUGCUCUCCUUUAGCUCUCAGGUGUUUUUGUUUUGUUUGUCAUUAACUGAAAAUGCAAAGACCACUACAAAUGAACUGGCAUUCAGCUGGACUUGUACUAUUGGAGGUUUUCUCACAGGUGGCUGGGUACCUAGCAGGAGCGGUAUGUGAGCCCUGAAAUCAGCAGACAGCAUCAUUUUAUCAUGUAGCGGAACUCAGCAGAGUGAAAACGGAAACAGACACUAGACGAAACACAGGAAUGGCCACGCUAUUUUCCAAAGCAGCUGCACCAUUAUACAUUCCCACCAGCAGAGCACAAGGGUUCCGGCUUCGCCACAUCCUCUCCAGCACCUUUAGUUCCUGUUGACGUAAAAAGCAGCACGAUUGUCUGAAAAAAUCUGUUUCCACGGGUACGAAAAUAGAAGACCACAUACAGAAGAAGAGAUUGUUUUCCAAUCUGGUGGCUUGAGGACUUGUUUCAAUAUCUGAUAUAUCAAAGUCGUGGAUCAGAAAACACCAUAAUGAUCCCACUUGUAUUUUUAUCUUUGAGAGGUUUCAAAAUUUACUUUUUGUGCUUUGCAGUAACAUUUGAUGGUUUCUUAAGUGUGUUGUUGAUUUGAUGACCUCUCUGAGAGCCAGAGAAUAAGUGUCUGUAUGUGUUUUACUUAAGUAGGAAAGAGUAAAGUUCAAAUCAACUAAAAAUCUGUAAUUAGGAAAGUUGUAAAACCACAAUUUGUCUCAGGGCAAGAAACUACACCCUGGUGUGGCUGCCCUUAGCAGCCACUGGAAGGCUUGCUGAAAUUAGAAUAAAAUAUCUCAGUGAUACUAAAGUUCUCAAAUGUGCCACCAUUGGCAUGAUACUAUCUGGUAUAUUUUCCAGAGACAAAAGUAACAAACUGUCAGUUCUCAUUGCGAUAUUUUAUCUAAAAAUGAAUAAUCCUGUGGCAGAAACACGAAGUCUGUGAGGGCCUGACCAAGCCCUGGCCACCACACUGUCUUUAGGAGAAACAAUUGUUCCCAACAUCACCUGGCAUCUACUUCUACAUUCUUGGGCCAGUGAGGAAAAUUACUAAGUAAAAUACAGUAAUCAAUUAGGAAAUUUUUGCAAAGCUCUAUUUUAAAAGAAGAACG